RNAcentral lists this transfer RNA (64 nucleotides) under Scolytinae sp. BMNH 1040065. RNAcentral describes it as "tRNA-Thr". It matches the Rfam family "tRNA". Rfam says of the family: Transfer RNA (tRNA) molecules are approximately 80 nucleotides in length. Their secondary structure includes four short double-helical elements and three loops (D, anti-codon, and T loops). Lineage: Eukaryota; Metazoa; Arthropoda; Insecta; Coleoptera; Curculionidae. The record is from RNAcentral.
GUUUUAAUAAUUUAAAUAAAAUAUUGGUCUUGUAAACCAAAAAUAAGGUAUACCUUUUAAAACU